GGACAGAUGGCCGAGCGGUUGAUGGCACCGGUCUUGAAAACCGGCAAGGGUGUUCCCCUUCGCGAGUUCGAAUCUCGCUCUGUCCG
This 86-nucleotide transfer RNA is filed under the name Holosporaceae bacterium. RNAcentral describes it as "tRNA-Ser". It matches the Rfam family "tRNA". Rfam says of the family: Transfer RNA (tRNA) molecules are approximately 80 nucleotides in length. Their secondary structure includes four short double-helical elements and three loops (D, anti-codon, and T loops). Lineage: Bacteria; Pseudomonadati; Pseudomonadota; Alphaproteobacteria; Holosporales; Holosporaceae. The record is from RNAcentral.